RNAcentral lists this long non-coding RNA (377 nucleotides) under Pelobates cultripes (western spadefoot toad). Lineage: Eukaryota; Metazoa; Chordata; Amphibia; Anura; Pelobatidae. The record is from RNAcentral.
GUCCCUUCUCGGUCUCUCCGCUCUGCCCGUGACCACCUCCUGUCCGUUGUCCGCACCCGUACGGCCAACUCGCGCUUGCAGGACUUCUCGCGGGCGGCUCCCUUCCUAUGGAAUAGCCUGCCUCCCGCCAUCAGACUCUCCCCUAGUCUUGCAUCUUUUAAGAAGUGCCUUAAAACCCAUCUCUUUAGGAAAGCUUAUGGCCUCCAAGACUAACCCCUACCUCACAUACCUGUCUCUUGCCCUCUCCUAAAGGGCAGCCCACCUUAUUUGAUUGCAAAUUCCUGUCCUAAUGUGUUUUACACCCCACCUCCUAUAGAAUGUAAGCUUGAUUGAGCAGGGUCCUCUUCAACCUAUUGUUCCUGUAAGUUUAUUUGUAA